UUGAACGCUGGCGGCAUGCUUUACACAUGCCAGUCGAACGGUAACAGGCCUUCGGGUGCUGACGAGUGGCGAACGGGUGAGUAAUGCAUCGGAACGUACCCAGAGGUGGGGGAUAACGCAGCGAAAGCUGUGCUAAUACCGCAUGUGAUCUGAGGAUGAAAGCGGGGGACCGAGCAGCAAUGUUUGGCCUCGCGCCUUUGGAGCGGCCGAUGUCGGAUUAGCUAGUUGGUGGGGUAAAGGCCUACCAAGGCGACGAUCCGUAGCUGGUCUGAGAGGACGACCAGCCACACUGGGACUGAGACACGGCCCAGACUCCUACGGGAGGCAGCAGUGGGGAAUUUUGGACAAUGGGCGCAAGCCUGAUCCAGCAAUGCCGCGUGCGGGAAGAAGGCCUUCGGGUUGUAAACCGCUUUUGGCAGGAACGAAACGGUGUCCGCUAAUACCGGGCGCUAAUGACGGUACCUGCAGAAUAAGCACCGACUAACUACGUG
RNAcentral lists this ribosomal RNA (491 nucleotides) under uncultured bacterium. RNAcentral's name for it is "partial 16S ribosomal RNA". It matches the Rfam family "Bacterial small subunit ribosomal RNA", at positions 29 to 507 of the family's 1533-position model. The record is from RNAcentral.